GAUGAACGCUGGCGGCGUGCCUAAUACAUGCAAGUCGAGCGAACGGACGAGAAGCUUGCUUCUCUGAUGUUAGCGGCGGACGGGUGAGUAACACGUGGAUAACCUACCUAUAAGACUGGGAUAACUUCGGGAAACCGUAGCUAAUACCGGAUAAUAUUUUGAACCGCAUGGUUCAAAAGUGAAAGACGGUCUUGCUGUCACUUAUAGAUGGAUCCGCGCUGCAUUAGCUAGUUGGUAAGGUAACGGCUUACCAAGGCAACGAUGCAUAGCCGACCUGAGAGGGUGAUCGGCCACACUGGAACUGAGACACGGUCCAGACUCCUACGGGAGGCAGCAGUAGGGAAUCUUCCGCAAUGGGCGAAAGCCUGACGGAGCAACGCCGCGUGAGUGAUGAAGGUCUUCGGAUCGUAAAACUCUGUUAUUAGGGAAGAACAUAUGUGUAAGUAACUGUGCACAUCUUGACGGUACCUAAUCAGAAAGCCACGGCUAACUACGUGCCAGCAGCCGCGGUAAUACGUAGGUGGCAAGCGUUAUCCGGAAUUAUUGGGCGUAAAGCGCGCGUAGGCGGUUUUUUAAGUCUGAUGUGAAAGCCCACGGCUCAACCGUGGAGGGUCAUUGGAAACUGGAAAACUUGAGUGCAGAAGAGGAAAGUGGAAUUCCAUGUGUAGCGGUGAAAUGCGCAGAGAUAUGGAGGAACACCAGUGGCGAAGGCGACUUUCUGGUCUGUAACUGACGCUGAUGUGCGAAAGCGUGGGGAUCAAACAGGAUUAGAUACCCUGGUAGUCCACGCCGUAAACGAUGAGUGCUAAGUGUUAGGGGGUUUCCGCCCCUUAGUGCUGCAGCUAACGCAUUAAGCACUCCGCCUGGGGAGUACGACCGCAAGGUUGAAACUCAAAGGAAUUGACGGGGACCCGCACAAGCGGUGGAGCAUGUGGUUUAAUUCGAAGCAACGCGAAGAACCUUACCAAAUCUUGACAUCCUUUGACAACUCUAGAGAUAGAGCCUUCCCCUUCGGGGGACAAAGUGACAGGUGGUGCAUGGUUGACGUCAGCUCGUGUCGUGAGAUGUUGGGUUAAGUCCCGCAACGAGCGCAACCCUUAAGCUUAGUUGCCAUCAUUAAGUUGGGCACUCUAAGUUGACUGCCGGUGACAAACCGGAGGAAGGUGGGGAUGACGUCAAAUCAUCAUGCCCCUUAUGAUUUGGGCUACACACGUGCUACAAUGGACAAUACAAAGGGCAGCGAAACCGCGAGGUCAAGCAAAUCCCAUAAAGUUGUUCUCAGUUCGGAUUGUAGUCUGCAACUCGACUACAUGAAGCUGGAAUCGCUAGUAAUCGUAGAUCAGCAUGCUACGGUGAAUACGUUCCCGGGUCU
Molecule: ribosomal RNA, 1372 nt
Filed under: uncultured bacterium
Lineage: Bacteria
Description: bacterial SSU rRNA
Rfam family: Bacterial small subunit ribosomal RNA
Source: RNAcentral